GAACAGAAUAUGAACAGAGAUACAGUAAAACAUCAAAGCACGAAACAGAACAGGUGCUUGGGGUCAUUCUAAUUGAUAGUUUCAAGAGUAUUACUAUUAUGUUGUAAGGAGUAAAUGAAGAGCACCAAUAUUUUGGACCUAAUAAGAAAUGCUUAUGCCGCAGCUUUGAAAGAUAAUAAAUAGGAUGAUAAAAAGGGAGAAGAGAGAAUUGUGAAGAAAAACCAUGGGGACUUUUUAGGUUUUCUCACGAGAAGGUUAAUCAGAGGGGGAAGUGAAGAGAAGGGGAGAUUGAUUGAUUGUAAAGCAAAUUAAGAAAGAGGUUAUUGAAGGCAAUCUUACUUGAUUGAAUUUGAUCUGAAGAUGAAAGUUGGUUAUUAAUCAACGUAUGCGUAGGUCUUGAAUGUGAGAAACUUUGGACCACUGGGAGUCGGGGCCGCUGCUCUCAGGAGUGCAUCUUUCUUUUAACAGAGGAGAACCAAAAACCCACAGACGUUUUAGUUUGGUGAGACUUCUCAUGGCAUCCUCAGAGGGUAGAUGUCCAAGCUCUUUGAAACCAAAUAACCGCAGCUCUUCAAGAGCAGCGAAGUUUCCGAACCAAUCUGGCAGAGCUUUUAUACCUCCAAAGUCGUAUAGCCAUAGUGACGUCAGAGCGGUCAAGCAUUGGAUCUGAGGUGGCAGGGACUCCAUGUGUGGCAACCCACAUAAGUCUAAUCCACGGGGUGCGGAUGACGAAGAGGAGGAUAUCAAUCCAGACCAAUCAAACUCAUUGUAAAUUGAAGAAUUUUCAUGAUCAUCACCAUCUUCUGAGAAGGGACCAAUGCUAAGCUCCCUUAAGCUGGUUAGGAAACCAAAUCCUUUGGGCGUCAUGCUUGUUUUCAGUUUGGGACACCUGUAUAAUUCCAGCUCCAAGAGAGAAGGCGUUUGUUGCAAAUUGAGCGGAAAGGAGAUAAGAUUGUCGCAAUAAGCCACCCGAAGCUUCUGGAGAGAGGUACAAGAGUGUAGCAUGUCACCUGGCAGAUUCGUCAACCCAUCGAAACGAGCAAUCACUAGCUCUUUAAGAGACGCAAAGUUUUGCAGGGGAAGGAGUUCUCUGCAUCUGUCGCAGCUAUAAAAUCGCAAACGCGCUAACUCGGGGAGUGUUAUUGCUGACUCGGGGAGUGUUGUUGUUGUUGUUGGCAAAUCCAUUAACCAUCGAGGAAAUUGAUCGCCCAUAAAAUUGCAAAUUGCCAACUCCUCCAAAUUUGGGUGGGCUUGAAGGCCAUCUAACACAUCUUCGUCGUUGUAGUCGUCGCCUUCUCGAUCAUCUGCCCACUCAAGUACCAACUCAAAUAGAUUUGCCUUUUCAGAUAGUUUUGCUUCCUCAGCUCCUUCCUUAUCCUUUACUAGUUCCAGAUUGCAUAUCCUCAAACUGCCUUUGAGGUUCUUCAAGCUUCCAAGCUCUCCAAUUCGUCGACCCUUCUCUCGACCCACGUUAAAGAACUCUAGUGUCUGAAGGCAAGUCAGCCGUCCCAUCUCUAGCGGCAUUUGAAAUUUUUUAUCAAAGGUGUGAAAGUGGAGAUGUCUCAAGCUAAUCAAAUCGCACAUCCCCUUCGGAAGAACUUUAAGAAAGUGACUUAGCCUCAGUGUCUGCAAAUUAUAAAGUUUGCAAACAGAUUCCGGCAACGUUUGACUUCUAGAACGCUCAAAGUUGAUGUACCUCAAGUGUCUCAGUUUGCCAAUUGAGAUUGGCAGAUUCUGAUUUUCUUCACCGGACAAAUUCAGAACGUGCAGAUUCUUCAACCUCAUUAGCAUAUCAUCAGAUAAGCUACCCUGACUCAGAAACAAUGUAUGAAGCAAAUUUGAUGGACUCUCAAAAAGAUUUUUUGUGCCUUCUCCAAAUGAGUCUAUUACAAGACAACGAACCUGAUUACUAUUGUCUUCUGAACCAGUCUCCGAAUUAAUGACUUUAGCAGACUUUGACAUUAUUGAUGUUGCGACGUCGUGCACCAUAUCAUGCAUUUUAUAAUACCUUCUCCCAUAUUUUCCUAUUUCUUCCAGCAAAGAACUCUGCAAUAAAAUUUCCAAGUAAUACUCUCCAAUUUCCUCCAUUGUUUUGUUCUCGAGACCUGCAUGGAGGAAACCUUCUGCCAUCCAAAGUUCGAUCAGCAUAUCCCGUUCCAUCUCAGUAUCCUUGGGAAAAAUAGAACAAUAUGCAAAACAUUUCUUAAUGGGUGCUUGGGUCAUUCUAAUUGAUAGUUUCAAGAGUAUUACUAUUAUGUUGUAAGGAGUAAAUGAAGAGCACCAAUAUUUUGGACCUAAUAAGAAAUGCUUAUGCCGCAGCUUUGAAAGAUAAUAAAUAGGAUGAUAAAAAGGGAGAAGAGAGAAUUGUGAAGAAAAACCAUGGGACUUUUUAGGUUUUCUCACGAGAAGGUUAAUCAGAGGGGGAAGUGAAGAGAAGGGGAGAUUGAUUGAUUGUAAAGCAAAUUAAGAAAGAGGUUAUUGAAGGCAAUCUUACUUGAUUGAAUUUGAUCUGAAGAUGAAAGUUGGUUAUUAAUCAACGUAUGCGUAGGUCUUGAAUGUGAGAAACUUUGGACCACUGGGAGUCGGGGCCGCUGCUCUCAGGAGUGCAUCUUUCUUUUAACAGAGGAGAACCAAAAACCCACAGACGUUUUAGUUUGGUGAGACUUCUCAUGGCAUCCUCAGAGGGUAGAUGUCC
RNAcentral lists this long non-coding RNA (2695 nucleotides) under Coffea arabica (coffee). Its description in RNAcentral is "long non-coding RNA (CARA_LNC000025)". The record is from RNAcentral. Lineage: Eukaryota; Viridiplantae; Streptophyta; Magnoliopsida; Gentianales; Rubiaceae.